AACCGGCAGUCAAGAGAAUCAUCAGUUCUCGUCGUCGCAUCGCCCACUCAACUCGCAUCCACCAUUCCACCCGCACCCCCCGAACUUCUCCGCCGUCCCAGCGCCGGCGCGACGCCGCAUGCCCCGGCAGAGCAAGCGCUGCUGCAAUCGCAUAUGCCCGUCGAGCGCCGCUUCAUCCUACGCAUUCGGCCGCCGCUGCCCCCGUCGCAUCUGCCUGGCUCCAAAAAUGCUCAUUUUUUGGGUCCAAAUUGGCUGAUCUUGCGACGGUGCUAGAUCUGGUAGCGGCGAAGGCAGCCAGCGGGGAGGAGUAGGUCCUCCAUGGCGGGCGGUGGCACGGAAGUGGGCGGUGAGGCGGCUCGGUGACCGGACGGCCCUCCUCCUCGCCGUUCCCUUCAAAAGACCCCUCCCCCUCCCCAAAUCCCCUUAGAGAGUGCACUGACAGAUAGAUGGAGUAAUUUCGCCUUAAUCCGUGGUGCUUCCCUUUCUCUACUUAAUCUGUGGUGGUUCCAAAUCCUCCUAAGAGUAAUUGAUGCCCAACAUUCUCCGUCUCAUUUUCAUUGCUGCUUCUCUGGCCACAGCGUUCUGCGUCUCCUCGAUGAGUAAUCAAUCCAUGUUUAGAGUUAAUUAGGAGUGCAUUAUUUUUUGCUAGUUCCUCAUUGCUACAAUUACUCCUGAUUGUGACCCAGCUUCCAAGUUUCAGUCAUUAUUUCUGGAACUUUUCUAUAAUUCGAGUACUAUGAUGAUGUUUAUCUUCUUAAGAACAAAGGAACAAGUGUGGGAGGAUGAUAUCUCUGCUGCUUGUUGUACUUCAAUAUUCCAGACCGUUGUUUAAGUUCUUGGAGUAAAUUCAGUGUUUAAACAUUUUAUUCUUGGCCACAACAAUAACUAUGUGAGUGUACUGUAAUCCAAGAGAUUGUUCUUCAUUCUUCUUGUAGGUAAUAGUUGUUACUGUUACUGUUAAAGACAUGGCUCUCUUGGUGCUGCAGCUUCUUCCUCGCUGUGCAGGGACGGCGGCGACGAGCUUCUACCUCGGCUACAACCACCUAGGUUCUGCUGGACAAGGAGCUCGGAGAGGCGCUGGAGGAGGUAGAGAAUUUGAUAAAAAAACAGGGUAGCAGCAGCAUUUCAGUUUGGGAAGGUUAGACUGCUGGAGUUGAAGCAGUUGUGGAUUUCGUCAAGGCAAAAAUAGAGCAUUUCCACUUAGUGAGAUGAAAAGGGUUAGCUUUCAGGCUUUGUUUCAGCAUGCUUUUGAUUCGUCACUCCUGAGCACUAAUUAUUACUUGCCUGCACUACUCCCUCUCCGUGUACAUAUUAGAAAUUCUAAAAAGACUUCAUGCGUGGGUCAAAUGUGUGCUCGGUGCGUUAGGUCCUUCUUGUUUUAAUUUGAACAAGAAACCAACCCUGUACUACUGGUAGUCCUAAGCCCAGGGAUCACACUAAGCACACUUGAUUUUUUGGGUCGAAACUGUAAAUUAGUACGUUGUUGGCCCUGCUGCACAGCAUAGCAGGAGAGCCCGACCCACCUUCAAUGUGCGCAUGAUCUAGGGGCCCUUCCAAUUUCA
Long non-coding RNA from Triticum dicoccoides, 1562 nucleotides. RefSeq lists it as uncharacterized. The record is from RefSeq and is a predicted model, not a curated record. NCBI's taxonomy places the organism in Eukaryota, Viridiplantae, Streptophyta, Magnoliopsida, Poales, Poaceae. The transcript has 2 exons.